This 525-nucleotide ribosomal RNA is filed under the name uncultured bacterium. Its description in RNAcentral is "bacterial SSU rRNA". It matches the Rfam family "Bacterial small subunit ribosomal RNA", at positions 355 to 896 of the family's 1533-position model. The record is from RNAcentral.
UGGGGAAUAUUGGACAAUGGGCGCAAGCCUGAUCCAGCCAUGCCGCGUGAGUGAUGACGGCCUUAGGGUUGUAAAGCUCUUUCGCUCGGGACGAUAAUGACGGUACCGAGAUAAGAAGCCCCGGCUAACUUCGUGCCAGCAGCCGCGGUAAUACAGAGGGGGCAAGCGUUGUUCGGAAUUAUUGGGCGUAAAGGGUGCGUAGGCGGUGCGGUAAGUCUUCUGUGAAAUCUCCGGGCUCAACUCGGAGUCUGCAGGAGAAACUGCCGUGCUUGAGUAUGGGAGAGGUGAGUGGAAUUCCUGGUGUAGCGGUGAAAUGCGUAGAUAUCAGGAGGAACACCUGUGGCGAAAGCGGCUCACUGGACCACAACUGACGCUGAGGCACGAAAGCUAGGGGAGCAAACAGGAUUAGAUACCCUGGUAGUCCUAGCCCUAAACGAUGAUUGCUUGGUGUAGCAGGUACCCAAUCCUGCUGUGCCGCAGCUAACGCGUUAAGCAAUCCGCCUGGGGAGUACGGUCGCAAGGCUG